UUAAGUUAACAAGGGCGCAUGGUGAAUGCCUUGGCACUAGGAGCCGAUGAAGGACGGGACUAACACCGAUAUGCUUCGGGGAGCUGUACGUAAGCUAUGAUCCGGAGAUUUCCGAAUGGGGCAACCCAGCAGUUUUAAUCAACUGUUACCACUAGAUGAAUUCAUAGUCUAGUUGGAGGUAAACGCUGUGAACUGAAACAUCUCAUUAGCAGCAGGAAUAUAAAGAAAUUUCGAUUCCCUAAGUAGCGGCGAGCGAACGGGGAACAGCCCAAACCAAAGUGCUUGCACUUUGGGGUUGUAGGACUGAACAUUUGAGUUACCAAAGAACUUGAUAGUCGAAGGAUUUGGGAAAAUCCGCCAUAGAUGGUGAUAGCCCAGUAGAUUAAAUCAAAUUCUCUCAGUUCAGGAUCCUGAGUACGGCGGAACACGUGAAAUUCCGUCGGAAUCCGGGAGGACCAUCUCCCAAGGCUAAAUACUACCUAGUGACCGAUAGUGAACCAGUACCGUGAGGGAAAGGUGAAAAGCACCCCGGGAGGGGAGUGAAAUAGUUCCUGAAACCAUGUGCCUACAAUAAGUCAGAGCGCGUUAAUGCGUGAUGGCGUGCCUUUUGUAGAAUGAACCGGCGAGUUAUGAUCCCGUGCAAGGUUAAGACUAAAAAGUCGGAGCCGUAGCGAAAGCGAGUCUGAAAUGGGCGUUUUGAGUACGAGGUUAUAGACCCGAAACCAGGUGACCUAUCCAUGUCCAGGUUGAAGGUGCGGUAAAACGCACUGGAGGACCGAACCCGUGUAAGUUGAAAAUUGCUGGGAUGAGGUGUGGAUAGCGGUGAAAUUCCAAACGAACUUGGAGAUAGCUGGUUCUCUCCGAAAUAGCUUUAGGGCUAGCCUCGGAAUUAGGAUCAUGGAGGUAGAGCACUAUUUGGACUAGGGGCCCGUCUUGGGUUACUGAAUUCAGAUAAACUCCGAAUGCCAUUGAUUCAUAUCCGGGAGUCAGACGAUGAGUGAUAAGAUCCACCGUCGAAAGGGGAACAGCCCAGACCAUCAGUUAAGGUCCCUAAAUGUAUGCUAAGUGGAAAAGGAUGUGGAGUUGCAUAGACAACUAGGAUGUUGGCUCAGAAGCAGCCACCAUUUAAAGAGUGCGUAAUAGCUCACUAGUCGAGUGAUCCUGCGCCGAAAAUGUACCGGGGCUAAGCAUACUACCGAAACCAUGGAUGCGACCAUUAGGUCGCGUGAUAGGAGAGCGUUCUAAGGGCGGUGAAGCAAGAUCGUGAGGACUUGUGGAGCGCUUAGAAGUGAGAAUGCCGGUAUGAGUAGCGAAAGAUAGGUGAGAAUCCUAUCCACCGAAUGACUAAGGUUUCCUGGGGAAGGCUCGUCCUCCCAGGGUUAGUCGGGACCUAAGUCGAGGCCGAGAGGCGUAGACGAUGGAUAACAGGUUGAGAUUCCUGUACUAGUUAAGUGCGUUUGAGCAAUGGAGGGACGCAGGAGGCUAAGAUGUGCAUUCUGUUGGAUUAGAAUGUCCAAGCAGUAAGUCUUGUGAAGAGUCAAAUGCUUUUCACUUUAAGGACAAGCUGUGAUGGGGAGCGAAAUUUAGUAGCGAAGCGUCUGAUGUCACACUGCCGAGAAAAGCUUCUAGUGAGUACUUAACUACCCGUACCGCAAACCGACACAGGUAGUCGAGGAGAGAAUCCUAAGGUGAGCGAGUGAACUCUCGUUAAGGAACUCGGCAAAAUGACCCCGUAACUUCGGGAGAAGGGGUGCUGAUCGCAAGAUCAGCCGCAGUGAAUAGGCCCAGGCGACUGUUUAUCAAAAACACAGGUCUCUGCAAAAUCGUAAGAUGACGUAUAGGGGCUGACGCCUGCCCGGUGCUGGAAGGUUAAAAGGAUGGGUUAGCUUCGGCGAAGCUCAGAAUUGAAGCCCCAGUAAACGGCGGCCGUAACUAUAACGGUCCUAAGGUAGCGAAAUUCCUUGUCGGGUAAGUUCCGACCCGCACGAAAGGCGUAACGAUCUGGGCACUGUCUCAACGAGAGACUCGGUGAAAUUAUAUUGUCCGUGAAGAUGCGGACUACCCGCGACAGGACGGAAAGACCCCAUGGAGCUUUACUGUAGCUUGAUAUUGAGUGUUUGUACAGCUUGUACAGGAUAGGUAGGAGCCAUAGAAACCGGAACGCUAGUUUCGGUGGAGGCGUUGGUGGGAUACUACCCUCGCUGUAUGACCACUCUAACCCGCACCACUAAUCGUGGUGGGAGACAGUGUCAGGUGGGCAGUUUGACUGGGGCGGUCGCCUCCUAAAAAGUAACGGAGGCGCCCAAAGGUUCCCUCAGAAUGGUUGGAAAUCAUUCGCAGAGUGUAAAGGCACAAGGGAGCUUGACUGCGAGACAGACAGGUCGAGCAGGGACGAAAGUCGGGCUUAGUGAUCCGGUGGUACCGUAUGGAAGGGCCAUCGCUCAACGGAUAAAAGCUACCCUGGGGAUAACAGGCUUAUCUCCCCCAAGAGUCCACAUCGACGGGGAGGUUUGGCACCUCGAUGUCGGCUCAUCGCAUCCUGGGGCUGUAGUCGGUCCCAAGGGUUGGGCUGUUCGCCCAUUAAAGCGGUACGCGAGCUGGGUUCAGAACGUCGUGAGACAGUUCGGUCCCUAUCCGUCGCGGGCGUAGGAAAUUUGAGAGGACCUGUCCUUAGUACGAGAGGACCGGGAUGGACAUACCUCUGGUGUACCAGUUGUGCCGCCAGGCGCAUCGCUGGGUAGCUACGUAUGGAUGUGAUAAACGCUGAAAGCAUCUAAGUGUGAAACACACCUCGAGAUGAGAUUUCCCAUUCCUUUAUGGAAGUAAGACCCCUGAAAGAUGAUCAGGUAGAUAGGUUAGAAGUGGCAGUGCGG
Molecule: ribosomal RNA, 2873 nt
Filed under: Lactiplantibacillus plantarum
Lineage: Bacteria; Bacillati; Bacillota; Bacilli; Lactobacillales; Lactobacillaceae
Description: bacterial LSU rRNA
Rfam family: Bacterial large subunit ribosomal RNA
Source: RNAcentral